UCUGUAUUGCGUAGCCCCUGAGAUCGUACUCUUUGGAUGACAUAAACUCGGGCUUUUCGGGAUGACAAAUACUUGGGCUUUUCGAUUGUAGAAUUGGUUUUCUUAUUCUUUUUCUCCUGUUAGAGACUAAUUUAUUCCGAUAUAUAAAUUUUGUUUUCCAAGGCUUUCCUCAUUGCACCUCCCCUGAUAUCACAUUUCCUCCAUGUAUAUGACUAUGUGAAUUUCCAUCAGCAGUUUCUUGUCCAUUGUCUUGUCUAAUUUUGUUGCAUAGAGUUGUGGGUUUUUGUGAUUUUACUAGCUUGGAUUGACAAUCCACUGGGAAAAUGAAUUUCAU
Molecule: long non-coding RNA, 334 nt
Filed under: Nicotiana benthamiana
Lineage: Eukaryota; Viridiplantae; Streptophyta; Magnoliopsida; Solanales; Solanaceae
Description: long non-coding RNA (NBEN_LNC018124)
Source: RNAcentral